GUAUUCGUCAAUGGUGGAAACCCUGAACGAGCAAUGCCGCGUGAGUGAUGACGGUCCUCUGGAUUGUAAAACUCUGUUGUUUAGGAAAAAUUGUAUAAACAGGAAGUGGUUAAUGCUUGAUGGUACUAUUCAAGAAAGCCACGGCUAACUACGUGCCAGCAGCCGCGGUAAUACGUAGGUGGCGAGCGUUACCCGGAUUUAUUGGGCGUAAAGCGUCCGCAGACGGCUUGUUAAGACUAGAAUCAAAGCCCGGAGCUUAACUUCGGUUCGUUCUAGAAACUGGCAGGCUUGAGUAUAGUAGAGGCAAGUGGAAUUUCUAGUGUAGCGGUAGAAUGCGUAGAUAUUAGAAGGAACACCAGUGGCGAAGGCGACUUGCUGGGCUAUUACUGACGUUCAUGGACGAAAGCGUGGGGAGCAAAUAGG
This 423-nucleotide ribosomal RNA is filed under the name uncultured bacterium. Its description in RNAcentral is "bacterial SSU rRNA". It matches the Rfam family "Bacterial small subunit ribosomal RNA", at positions 359 to 776 of the family's 1533-position model. The record is from RNAcentral.